RNAcentral lists this ribosomal RNA (1245 nucleotides) under metagenome. Its description in RNAcentral is "bacterial LSU rRNA". It matches the Rfam family "Bacterial large subunit ribosomal RNA", at positions 1564 to 2818 of the family's 2925-position model. The record is from RNAcentral.
UGAAUACGAGACGCUAAGGCGUCGAAGUAGUGUAUGUCAUACUUCCAAGAAAAGCUUGCACUGUCAUAGAUAAAAAACGCCUGUACCAUAACCGACACAGGUGGGUAGGUAGAGUAUACUAAGGGGCGCGAGAUAACUCUCUCUAAGGAACUCGGCAAAAUAACUCCGUAACUUCGGGAGAAGGAGUGCCUUAUUCGUAAGGUUGCAAUAACAAGAUCCAAGCAACUGUUUAUCAAAAACACAGGUCUCCGCUAAGUCGUAAGACGAUGUAUGGGGGCUGACGCCUGCCCAGUGCCAGAAGGUUAAAGAAGUUGGUUAGCAAUUGCGAAGCUGAUAACUGAAGCCCUGGUGAACGGCGGCUGUAACGAUAACGGUCCUAAGGUAGCGAAAUUCCUUGUCGGGUAAGUUCCGACCCGCACGAAAGGCGUAAUGAUUUGGAUACUGUCUCGGAGAGGGGCUCGGUGAAAUAGACUUGUCUGUGAAGAUGCGGACUACCUGCACCAGGACAGAAAGACCCUAUGAAGCUUUACUGUAACUUGAAAUUGAAAUUGGACUUUAUUCGCGCAGUAUAGGUGGGAGGCGUUGAUUAUAAUCUUGUGGGAUUAUUGGAGCCAUCAGUGAGAUACCACUCUUGUAAUGUUAGAUUUCUAACUUUGAAUCAUUAUCUGGUCAAAGAACAGUUUCAGGCGGGCAGUUUGACUGGGGCGGUCGCCUCCUAAACGGUAACGGAGGCGUACAAAGGUUUCCUCUGAACGGUUAGAAAUCGUAUCUAGAGUGUAAAGGCAUAAGGAAGCUUGACUGUGAGACCUACAAGUCGAGCAGGGACGAAAGUCGGUCUUAGUGAUCUGACGGUACUGAGUGGAAAGGCCGUCACUCAACGGAUAAAAGUUACUCUAAGGAUAACAGGCUGAUCUCCCCCAAGAGUUCACAUCGACGGGGAGGUUUGGCACCUCGAUGUCGGCUCAUCGCAUCCUGGGGCGGUAGUACGUCCCAAGGGUUGGGCUGUUCGCCCAUGAAAGCGGUACGCGAGCUGGGUUCAGAACGUCGUGAGACAGUUCGGUCCAUAUCCGGUGUAGGCGUUAGAAUAUUGAGAGGAGCCUUCUUUAGUACGAGAGGACCGAGAAGGACAUACCUCUGGUGUACCAGUUAUCGUGCCAACGGUAAACGCUGGGUAGCUAUGUAUGGAGUGGAUAACCGCUGAAAGCAUCUAAGUGGGAAGCCCACCUCAAGAUAAGUAUUCUCAUC